RNAcentral lists this ribosomal RNA (301 nucleotides) under uncultured bacterium. RNAcentral describes it as "partial 16S ribosomal RNA". It matches the Rfam family "Bacterial small subunit ribosomal RNA", at positions 509 to 808 of the family's 1533-position model. The record is from RNAcentral.
CAGCAGCCGCGGUAAUACGUAGGUCCCGAGCGUUGUCCGGAUUUAUUGGGCGUAAAGCGAGCGCAGGCGGUUAGAUAAGUCUGAAGUUAAAGGCUGUGGCUUAACCAUAGUACGCUUUGGAAACUGUUUAACUUGAGUGCAAGAGGGGAGAGUGGAAUUCCAUGUGUAGCGGUGAAAUGCGUAGAUAUAUGGAGGAACACCGGUGGCGAAAGCGGCUCUCUGGCUUGUAACUGACGCUGAGGCUCGAAAGCGUGGGGCGCAAACAGGAUUAGAUACCCCAGUAGUCCCUGUCUCUUAUACA